CUCAAAAUAAACCAUUUACUUGUUUUGCUGUAGCUGUGGUAACAAGAUAGAGACCAUGAACUGCCCAAUUUGCUAAAAACAUGAAUGUGACAGGAGGGUGUGUGGUCCAGUGGUUAAAGAAAAGGGCUUGUAACCAGGAGGUUCCCAGUUCAAAUCCCGGCUCAGCCACUGACUCGCUGUGUGACCCUGAGCAAGUUACUUAACCUCCUUCUCCUCCGUCUUUCGGGUGAGACGUAGUUGUAAGUGACUCUACAGCUGAUGCAUAGUUCACACACCCUAGUCUCUGUAAGUCAUCUUGGAUAAAGGCGCCUGCUAAAUAAACAAAUAAUAAGAAAGCAUAACUGUAGCCCCUCUUAUAAAUCUUACACAGUUUCAUCCUCAUUCUUCUGAAAUCAUGGCUUCCCACCCUGCUCAAUUCACAGAACCGAUUACAACUAAACAUGUCUGUUUCUAUAAGAGUGGAGAUCCCCAGUUCAGCGGGCUAAAGAUGAUCAUCAACAGUCGCACCUUCAAGACUUUUGAUGCCCUGCUGGACAGCUUGUCUAAAAGAGUUCCUUUACCUUUUGGAGUGAGGAACAUCACUACCCCACGUGGAAUCCAUGGCAUUAGCACUCUUGAUGAGCUAGAAGAUAGAAAAGCAUACAUUUGCUCUGACCAAAAGAAAGUAAAGCCUAUAGACUUGGCAGUGGCAAGUAAACCCCCCAAGCCUUGGAAUUCCACGAGGCCAGUCAGUGCCCAUCGGCGUGCCAUCCAGUUAAACAAGCAGAACGAGGGCCAGCUGUUUCAGCGGAAGAAUUCUGUGGUGGUACGCACCCCCAGGAAAAUUGUGGUCUUCAAAAAUGGGGAUGCUGGAAUCAAGCACACUCUGAUGCUGCAAAAGAAAACAGCACAGACUUUUGAGUCAAUUCUUGAUCUUGUGACUGAGGUGAUGCAGUUUCGAGUCUUAAAGCUCUACACACCAGAUGGAAGGCGGGUUGAUGGUCUUCAGGCUCUGAUUCUGUGCUCUGGAGUUGUAGUAGCAGCAGGCCGAGAACCUUUCAAAGCUAGAAAAUAUGACACCCAAAGACUGAGUCUGCCUACCAAAUUGCCGGGAAUUUCCAACCGUGUAAAACCAAAAACCAUCAACAAGAUCCAGCAAAGGAAUUGGAGAAAGAAAUCAGUCUCCAACAUAAGGUCUCGAAAGUUCUCUUUUUCUUCAGAAAAGUAUUUCUUGAACAAACUCAGUAAUUCUAUAGGCAGCUUAUGUAACAUUCCUGACACCCCUAAGGGAUCCUUGGAAACAUGCACAUGUACUGUCGAGGACAUUCCUUUAAUGCCUCUAGAUGACGACAUAGAAAAAUCUAUUCACAUAAACCAAGAUGGCACCAUGACAGUAGAGAUGAAGGUUAGGUUAAUGAUAAAAGAAGAGGAGACAAUUCAAUGGAGCACCACAGUGAGUCGAUCCAGUGUGCUCAACCAUGUAAAAAAACAAGUAGACCCUGAGGCUGAUUUACCAGAUUACAAUACUCUUCCUUCUAAAGCUAAAGCAGAGGUAAUGUAUUUGGAGGACUAUAACUCAAACGAGGAAAGCGAUCUCUCGUUUAAAAGAAUGAAGGCAAUUAGUGGAACAAAACAAGCAAAUGAAAUGAGUAUUGUUGACAAAGAAAGCCAACAAUGUGACACAUGGCAAGAUCCACAUUAUGAUGUCAACUUAGUUGAAACUGAAGAAGACAACAAUAAGCAAAUAUUUAAGAGACCCCUAACAGCUGACCCCCGGCAGAGCAGAAGAAAGCAGGCAUCUAUGGAAAGCAUUAAAACAGGGUCUGAAAGUGAAAUACACAAAAACUUAUUUGGCACAUAUUCUUACAGUGAGGAGAAGGAAAAUGGUGAAAGAAAAGGAGAAUGCUGCACGAUCAGCCAUUGCAGUAGCAGCUCUGUACCUAAGCCAAGGAAAGGAGAUAAUUGUGAAAUUAAUAACAGUGAUCUACAUUUCAAAUGUAGGACUUCAGGUGUGGCACAGCUACUGACACUCCACAACAGAGAUGAAGUAACAGAACGGGUCAUACACCUUGAACAGGAGAACUGUCAUGAUAAUUACUUUGCAAAUCAUCAAGUGAUGUGUGCCAGACUAGCUUCAUCAGGCCAGGCCAUCUGUUUAUCAAGGAACAAUUGUGAAAUGCAUUACAAGAGACCGUCCACUGCUUCAGAAUCCUUUAGUGAGAGAAAACAUGAGUGUGGUUCCUCAGAUUUCAUGUAUGCAGAGGAUUCAUUGGCAUAUAAGUCAUACCAGAAGGUACUAGACUCCAGUUUAGACUGUUCUUCUGCAUACACUGUGUCACAAAUUAAUAACACUGCACCAGUGGAUAACAUGUUCCUCAGUCAGUCUCCACCUGCUGUUAAAAGGAAAAAGAAGAAAUCAAACAAACGAAAAGUCAAAAAGACUAACCAAUCUGAUGGUGUGAGCUCAUAUAUAGUAACUGAGAAAAGCAAUGACCUUGUUGUUGAUCAAAAUGAACAAAAUGCAAUAUCCUACUGUGAAGAAUCUGCUCAGUGUGCAGAAACAUGUGCACAUGAUGACCAAAGACCACUUAAAAUGAAAAAACGUAACAAGAAAAAGACAGAAGUAGAACAUGAACCCAGCAACAACUCUUCUGUAUCCACUGUGUCUGAAAAUACAUACGUGUUGAAGGACUCUGGGGAGAGCUCUCAAGAAGCAGUAUCUGAGAAAGAGUUAAAUUGCAAUGCUGCCAGUCCAGAGUCACAAGAUUCAGAGACUGAUCAAGAUCAUGAAAAUAGCACUCAGAUUAUAAUUAAGAAAAGUGUUUUACCACCAAUCGGUUCAUCAGCAACAGACAAAAAGAAGCACAAAAAACAGAAAAGGGAGAAAAGGAAUGAACAAGAUAAGUCUGAUGAGGAAACAGCAAGCAGGGGAGAAGAACUUCUGCAAUAUAAUGAAAGCACUUCCUCACUGGGCAUGUCUAAUGUGGACAAAGCUCCCCCAUUAAUAAAGGAUUUUGAGAAAAAAUGGCUGGGAGAAGUACAGUCAGAAUCUACAUUACCUCAUAAUGAAUUCACUGAAGCUAAUGCAGAAACGAGAAAAAAAGCAAAAGUUGUAUUUCAGAUUGGAACAACAGCAAUUGCUCCCAAAAUGGAGAGGCUGGAGGUGGAGGAAGUACCAGAAGAAGAAUCUCCUGUAAGACAAGAACCACCUGAAACACCUGACCAACCCACUAAAGUAAAGAGAGACACCACACACACAGCUGAAGCUGCUAUUCAAACUGAAUUGGGAAAAAUCGAUGCAAAUAUGCCAGCAGGACAACACAAUACCAGGCCAGUACUGGAGCAACUACAUUCUUUGGUUAAAUCAAUCAAACAAAUACCAACCCUCAGACGUCCUUUAGGCCUGGAGAAAUCAUACAGCAUGCCAGACUUUUCUGCACAUAUUGAUUCAUAUUUUGAUUUUCCCUCCAAAGUCCUUCUUACAUUGCUAACAAUCAUGACAAUAAAGGAAGGUGUUGGCAGCUUGAACUACAGUGGGACAUUGGUAAAUAGUAGUAGAUGUGCAGAGGUCCUCACACUCAUGGAGUCCCUUAAGAGACUGGCUAGCAUUGAGGAUGCUAAGGAAGUAAAGGCUAGUGUCUCAGGUUUGCAAACAUGUACAUUGGCCCAAUUAUUGCAGACCUGGAGGGAAAAAAAUGUUGAACAGGGUUCACACAACAUUUCUUUACCAGAUACCCCAGAUGAUAACAAAGCUUUGUUAGAGACCAGCAUGUCAACGAACAAUAUUGAAACUGAUGGUACUUUUGAUAUGCAGGAGCUGAUAGAGCAACUGGGCAUGUCUGAUGAAGUUCAGAAAGAAUUGUGUGCCAUAAUGAAAGACAACAGUGCAACAUGUUUAGAAGCACAACUUGUAGACACUGGGGAAUUAAGUGAUGUUCCAGUACCAGUAGAAGAAGAGGAAAAUGAACUAGCCUUUGAAUGCAAUGAAAAAGUAUCUUUAUGCUUGAAAAUGGAUGAGGUGCCCGAUGAAGAGAAUGCAACUUUAGGAAACACUAGUUAUAGUGAUAAAAAUGUUACUUCCGACCAGAAUGUUCCUAAUGAUAAUCUGCAGGUUUCCGAGGCAGAAGACACAACAGAGGUGACCCCUCUUUCUAAUGAGCAAAAUGUAAUUUCAGGUUUUAUGGUUGAAAAUCAGGAAGGCUCAAUAAAUGGGACAAAUGAACAUCUCUCUGUAAAUGAAGAUACUUUAGAGGAAGAAGAUGGAGUACACCCCACCCACUAUGUAUGUGACAUUGUUAAACCCUGUGAUGAUACUGUGGAGUCUACUAACAGUCAUUCAUCAGCUUCGUCUUUAGCUUUCGGUUAUGAUGCAAAACAAAACCCCAAAACGGAAUUUGUUGGAAUCAGCAUCAAUGCUUUGAAAGAGAUGUUUAUGGCCAAAAGCAUACAAGACUUCCAAUAUGGUAGCAAGAGACUACCACGUCCACUUACAUCCAACUUGUCUGACUGUAGACCAGAGAGCUCAGAAAGUGUAAAGAGUGGUUACAAAUCACAGGCAUCAUGUGAAAUGACCACAAAAAGUGGGGAAGAUGGCUCUGGAAAGCGAUCUGUUUCUACAGGCUGUGUUAGAAGAACUAUCGAAAGAUUGUAUGGGAAGACCGAAGCUAAUUUUAGACCUCCCUCUUUUAAGAGGCCCCCAUCUGUGCCUAAACAAAAACAAAAGGAAAGUCCAAGUAAAAUGAGUGCAGGUAGCAUCACAUCUUUUGAAGAAUCAAAGCCUAAAGUGAAUGGAGAUCUAUUAUACUUUCAUGCCAACGGCUCUUUUCAUUUAGAAGAAGAAACUUUGCAAGGUGUACAAAAUACUGCACAAUCUGAAACAGAUGAUGAAGUUCUGAUCAAUAAAGGUAGAUGGCUUUUUAAAGAAAACCACUUGAUUAGAAAAUCUCCACCUGAAAAUAUAGGAAUGUAUGGAAAUAUUGAAACCACGUCAACAGAAACGGCCCUGGACAACACAAGUGAAGAUGUUCCCUACUCACGUUUUGAAGGUCAUCUUCCUCCACUGGCUGUCAUAUCUUCAUCUGAACUUGAAGAACUAGCUAAAUCUACAGAACCAAAAUGCAGCUACUUUAACAUGCCUCGUGCCAGUGAUUCCGAUCCUUUCCAAGAUGAUCUGUUGAACGUUAAGAGUAAAGGCAGCCUUCUCUGCAAUGAUAGUCCCAGAAAAAAGAAGAAAGGUGACAGGCUGUCAAUGGCGACUUGUGCUGAACCUGAGCAAAAAUGGGCAGAGAGAAAUUGUAGUCUUCCCUCUUUUGCCUUGGUAGAUUUUCGAAUACCUAACAACAAAGUGCAUCCAGAACAGGAACCUCCAGUGGCUCAUGCUGUUGUUGCACAACCUUCCCGAGCAAACAGUGCCAACAGCAAAGCUCCUGAAGAUCAACACUCUUUGGAGAAGCUUCACUUGAUGUGUGGUCAGCACUGUCCAAUAUUGACAGUGACUGUGGAGCCGCUCAAUGAGGAAAAGAGGGGGUAUGUUUAUCAAAAACAAACAGACCCUGAGAACCAAUGGAUAAUGUGUUCAUUAACUAGGAAAACUACAGCACUUUACCAGCAUGCACCACAAAUGUCCAUAAAUGAUCAAAUGUCCACUAUGCAAGUGAAUGAAGAAAAUAUGACCUGCAUAAUGAGUGGAAUCAUCAAAAUGUUUGAAAUUGAAAGCAUUAAACACGAGAUUGAGAGGAUCAAGCAAGGACUUUCUUUGCAUGUGUCCAAAAAGCAGGUCAUGUAAAUAAUAUAAAAGAGUCAAAUAAUAAGUAAUACAGAAAUAUCAUUAAAUACUAGUGCCAGUGCAAAGAACAAAAGUGACAGGAAAUACAGACUUUCUUCAUUCCCAUUGUCCAGCAAACCAGGACUACAAGUAUAUAGUUAAAAAAACCUGCUAGGGUGCGGACUUUCGGCUGUGAAAACAGUAACCCUGAAUACUUCUCUGAACCCAAAUUCAACGAAGGAUUCUUACAAGGUGUUAUUUUCCAUUUUAGGAGCACCAUUUUAGAUAAAAGCAGGGAACAUUGGAGAGCUGUACAAAAUACGAAUUGGGCACAACAACUCUGGAGAAUCCCCAGGCUGGCAUUGUGAUGAGAUCUGAGAAAAAAAGCCUGAUUGCUAUCUGUGAUAUCAUGCUUCAGUUCUGAAAAGCUGCUGUGUACGAGGCCCAUGUUGUGACAGGAGACCUGUGGAAUGUUGGAACUGAAGCAAAUGUUUACAUUACUGUUUAUGGGGAAAAGGGUGACACUGGCUCAAGACAGCUUCUCAACUCCAGGAAGCUCAUUAAGUUUUGCAAGGGACAGGUCUAGUAAUAAAUGAUCAUGAAUUAAAACAGUAGAUUGUAUGUAGAAAAUAGCAAGGGGAGGCUAUGGAAACUUUUUUUUAGUAAUAAAAUGUGCAAAUUUGCUACCUUGUAUUUCUCAAUUAAUAAGUGUUUUAGUAAGUAUAAGAAAAUUGACAAUUUAAAAUUGUAUUCAUACUAGGGAUGUAUUAUUAUUAUUAUUAUUAUUAUUAUUAUUAUUAUUAUUAUUAUUAUUAUUAUUAUUAUUAAAUUAAUCACCUGCUCUAAUCAGUCAUUUUUUUUAAAUACAAGUAAAUGAGAGAGGCAUCUUGAAGCCUCUCUUAUGAAGUCACAAAUGUCUAUUGCCUUUUUGACCUGUUAAUUCACGUUUCACUGUAAUAUAUUUAUUCUAAAAUCCUGAUACAUCCUUCACACAUAAUACAGUAAUAGUAGUAAACAUUUACAUAUGUAUUAAUGACAGUGCUUUACAGCCUUGAAAUUUACAUUUAUUGUGCAAUUACUGUAAGGUGCAUGUACCUCCUGUCAUUUCUACUGCCCUCGUCUCAGAACAGCUGUACAAACCAACCAUCAAUAUCAGCAUGUCAAUAUCAUCAAAAUGUCACCUAUAAAGUGGGAGAAAUGUAUUCAAACUGCUGCGACUAUGAUGGUUUGGGCUCCUGACUCUUGACCGGAGGGUCGUGGGUUCAAUCCCAGGUGGGGGGACACUGCUGUUGUACCCUUAAGCAUGGUACUUUACCUAGAUUGCUCCAGUAAAAACCCAACUGUAUAAAUGGGUAAUUGUGUGUAAAAAAUAAAAAAAUAAAAAAAUGUAAUUGUAUGUAAAAAUAAUGUGAUAUCUUGUAACAAUUGUAAGUCACCCUGGAUAAGGGUGUCUGCUAAGAAAUUAUUAAUAAUAAUAAUAAUAAUAAUAAUAAUAAUAAUAAUAAUAAUAAUAAUAAUAAUAAUAAUAAUAAUAGAAACUUAACAAAUGAUAUGCCUCUGAGAAAUUGGAGAAACCUAAUAAAAUUAAUCAAAUUAUAAUAACAUUAUAAUUAUAACAAAUAAAAUACACCCUACUGUACACAUAAGACUGUACAUUUCUUGUAGAGUUCUCAUGACAUGAAUAAACUACUCAAGCUUUUUGGCCCAAUAAAAUUCAGCA
RNA transcript from Acipenser ruthenus (sterlet), 7463 nucleotides. It is a transcript of the gene named oxygen-regulated protein 1, with no coding region annotated. The record is from RefSeq and is a predicted model, not a curated record. Lineage: Eukaryota; Metazoa; Chordata; Actinopteri; Acipenseriformes; Acipenseridae. The transcript is spliced from 8 exons.